UAUACGACCGUACCGCAAACCGGCACUGGUGCGCGAGAUGAGUAUUCUAAGGCGCUUGAGAGAACUCAGGAGAAGGAACUCGGCAAAUUGACACCGUAACUUCGGAAGAAGGUGUGCCCUAUUAGUGUGUAGUGAACAACGAAGCAUGAAUGGGUUGCAAAAAAUCGGUGGCUGCGACUGUUUAUUAAAAACACAGCACUCUGCAAACACGAAAGUGGACGUAUAGGGUGUGACGCCUGCCCGGUGCUGGAAGAUUAAAUGAUGGGGUGCAAGCUCUUGAUUGAAGUCCCAGUAAACGGCGGCCGUAACAAUAACGGUCCUAAGGUAGCGAAAUUCCUUGUCGGGUAAGUUCCGACCUGCACGAAUGGCGUAACGAUGGCCACACUGUCUCCUCCUGAGACUCAGCGAAGUUGAAAUGUUUUGUGAUGAUGCAAUCUCCCCGCGGAAAGACGGAAAGACCCCAUGAACCUUUACUGUAGCUUUGUAUUGGACUUUGAACAGAUCUGUGUAGGAUAGGUGGGAGGCUUUGAAGCAGGGUCGCUAGAUCUUGUGGAGCCAACGUUGAAAUACCACCCUGGUGUGUUUGAGGUUCUAACCUAGGUCCAUUAUCUGGAUCGGGGACAGUGCAUGGUAGGCAGUUUGACUGGGGCGGUCUCCUCCCAAAGCGUAACGGAGGAGUUCGAAGGUACGCUAGUUACGGUCGGACAUCGUGACGAUAGUGCAAUGGCAUAAGCGUGCUUAACUGCGAGACUGACAAGUCGAGCAGAUGCGAAAGCAGGACAUAGUGAUCCGGUGGUUCUGUAUGGAAGGGCCAUCGCUCAACGGAUAAAAGGUACUCUGGGGAUAACAGGCUGAUACCGCCCAAGAGUUCAUAUCGACGGCGGUGUUUGGCACCUCGAUGUCGGCUCAUCUCAUCCUGGGGCUGUAGCCGGUCCCAAGGGUAUGGCUGUUCGCCAUUUAAAGAGGUACGUGAGCUGGGUUUAAAACGUCGUGAGACAGUUUGGUCCCUAUCUUCCGUGGGCGCUGCAGAUUUGAGGAAGCCUGCUCCUAGUACGAGAGGACCGGAGUGGACACACCCCUGGUGUAUCGGUUGUCACGCCAGUGGCAUUGCCGAGUAGCUAAGUGUGGAAGAGAUAACCGCUGAAAGCAUCUGAGCGGGAAACUCGUUUCAAGAUGAGAUCUGCCGGGGCCUUGAGCCCCCUAAAGAGUCGUUCAAGACCAGGACGUUGAUAGGUCAGGUGUGGAAGC
RNAcentral lists this ribosomal RNA (1248 nucleotides) under metagenome. RNAcentral describes it as "bacterial LSU rRNA". It matches the Rfam family "Bacterial large subunit ribosomal RNA", at positions 1635 to 2874 of the family's 2925-position model. The record is from RNAcentral.